AUGGUGGCGGAGGGGGAGGAAAAGGAGAAGAUGGUGAUGUUGCGGAGCGAGGACGGCGUGGACUUCCUGCUGUCAGAGGCAGAGGCCGAGGCCCAUUGCGGCAGGAAAAUCAAAAUAAUGAUGAAGUACGACUCCGAGGACCACAUCAUCCCUUCCGACGACGGCGGCGGCGAAAUCAACUACUGCCUCAUCCGCCUCCCCGUCCGAGGCGACACACUCUCCAAGGUGAUAGACUACUCCAAGAUGCACGCCUCCGGAUCCCACGACUUGACCCACUGGGAUGCGGAGUUCAUCGCUGGUUUCAACCACGAGGCCCUCUUCCAUCUCAUCCUGGAGGAGUUGCCAUGCAGUGAGACCCCAUGUUCAAUGCAAGAGCUCGAAUUGGAGGAAAAAGCUUUGCAUGCUCUUGACAUAGUUCGAUGCCAAGAGUUUACGGGAUACGACCCUAAGGUCAACGCUUACACCCGUACCCGAUUCGACAUAUUCAACCUAGCCUUCUUUGACCUUGACAAAGAGUCUGAUUUUUGUCGUGGUCCGCGGCUUAACAUGAUACCUUCACCAAUACGUGACUCGAUCGUAGGAUCAUGUGUAAAUGUCAUUACCUUGAAGGUAAAGGAAUCGGAAGUUGGCUUCCCGAUAAAAGUUUUUGGUACCGUUGUAGCAAGAGACCAGGUCGACUAUAGAUGUGUUUAUCUCUUCAGGCGUGAAAGGGGUGAUCCCCAACUCAUCACCUCGGCGGACGGCAAGUUAACUUUGAUGGAUCCAUGCCGAGGGCUUGUCCCAGAGGACAGAAUAUAUUUUGAGAUGGAUUUAAAGAUAGUACGUGAUGGAGGUGAGGUUGAAGAUUUCAGCAAAGGUGUGAUCGUUUUCAACAGGGCCCGCCUCCCUAAUGAUAAGCAGACCAUGGGUGGACCGUGUAGUGUCUCAAGAGUUAUCGCCGCUACUACCAAGAAUUAUGAGUAUAGUAUGGAUCUUUACAACGGUGGUGAAGCAGCAGCAGAGCAGAGUCUAUCGUCGGGUUCCAGCACAAAUCGCCGCCCGGCAGUUCCAGCAUGGGCGCCUGCCGGCUUGCAACUUCUCCGCUCGUCCGUUCCAGCACGGCUGGUUGGUGAUCCCAGCACGGCCGCACGGCGAAGCUACGAGCGAUGGGACGCUCCUCCCGAUUGUACGACGAUGGAGCGCAAAGAUGCUGCUACAGAGCCUCUUCGUCGUCGACGACCGCGGCUCCGGAAGCAGCCGGAUGGCCGGCUCGUCAGCUCAUCCAUAGGCGACUGUGGUGCCCGCUGGAUGCGCUCGAUGGUGGAGCUCGCAGGAAGCCAGGAAGGCGCGGUCCUCGGUGGCUUCACCGGCGUCGGUGUGAGGAGAGCAAAUAGCGGCGGCGGCUAUGUGCCCGCGCUGGGAAGAAGGGAUUAG
RNAcentral lists this ribosomal RNA (1413 nucleotides) under Triticum aestivum (bread wheat). RNAcentral describes it as "partial small subunit ribosomal RNA". The record is from RNAcentral. Lineage: Eukaryota; Viridiplantae; Streptophyta; Magnoliopsida; Poales; Poaceae.